ACUCAAAUGAAUUGACGGGGGCCCGCACAAGCAGCGGAGCGUGUGGUUUAAUUCGAUGCAACGCGAAGAACCUUACCAGGGCUUGACAUGGACCUGCAGAGCGGCGAAAGCCGUUGGCCUUCGAGGGUGGUCCACAGGUGCUGCAUGGCUGUCGUCAGCUCGUGCCGUGAGGUGUUGGGUUAAGUCCCGCAACGAGCGCAACCCCCGCUGGCAGUUGAAUUUUCUGCCGGGACUGCCGGGAAAACCCGGAGGAAGGUGGGGAUGACGUCAAGUCAGCACGGCCCUUACGUCCUGGGCUACACACACGCUACAAUGGCACGGACAACGGGCUGCGAACCCGCAAGGGGGAGCCAAUCCCAUCAAACCGUGUCUCAGUACAGAUUGUCGGCUGAAACCCGCCGGCAUGAAGGCGGAGUUGCUAGUAACCGUGGGUCAGCACUACCGCGGUGAAUGCGUUCCCGGGCCUUGUACACACCGCCCGU
This 482-nucleotide ribosomal RNA is filed under the name uncultured bacterium. Its description in RNAcentral is "partial 16S ribosomal RNA". It matches the Rfam family "Bacterial small subunit ribosomal RNA", at positions 899 to 1397 of the family's 1533-position model. The record is from RNAcentral.